GUCUUUUUGAAAUAAAUUUAAAGUCUAACCUGCCCACUGAAAAUUUUAAAUGGCCGCAGUAUUCUAACUGUGCAAAGGUAGCAUAAUCAUUAGUCUUUUAAUUGAAGGCUGGAAUGAAUGGUUGGACGAAAUAUUAACUGUUUCAUUUAAAUUUUUUAUAGAAUUUUAUUUUUUAGUCAAAAAGCUAAAAUAAAUUUAAAAGACGAGAAGACCCUAUAAAUCUUUAUAUUUUGUUUAUUUUAAUUAUAAAGAUUAUUUUUAUUAUAAUAAAUUAAAAUAUUUUAUUGGGGUGAUAUUAAAAUUUAAAAAACUUUUAAUUUUUAAAACCAUUAAUUUAUGAAUAAUUGAUCCAUUAAUAAUGAUUAAAAAUUUAAGUUACUUUAGGGAUAACAGCGUAAUUUUUUUGGAGAGUUCAUAUCGAUAAAAAAGAUUGCGACCUCGAUGUUGGAUUAAGAUAUAAUUUUGGGUGUAGCCGUUCAAAUUUUAAGUCUGUUCGACUUUUAAAUUCUU
This 510-nucleotide ribosomal RNA is filed under the name Drosophila poonia. RNAcentral's name for it is "partial 16S ribosomal RNA". It matches the Rfam family "Bacterial large subunit ribosomal RNA", at positions 1825 to 2597 of the family's 2925-position model. The record is from RNAcentral. Lineage: Eukaryota; Metazoa; Arthropoda; Insecta; Diptera; Drosophilidae.